Molecule: ribosomal RNA, 1404 nt
Filed under: uncultured bacterium
Lineage: Bacteria
Description: bacterial SSU rRNA
Rfam family: Bacterial small subunit ribosomal RNA
Source: RNAcentral
UUAGAGUUUGCUUCUGGCUCAGGAUGAACGCUAGCUACAGGCUUAACACAUGCAAGUCGAGGGGCAUCGGGAGCAAAGCUUGCUUUGCUUGCCGGCGACCGGCGCACGGGUGAGUAACGCGUAUCCGACCUGCCCAUGACUCGGGCACAGCCGCUCGAAAGAGCGAUUGAUACCCGACACGUCGUAUGAGUGGAUCAUAUGAUGAAAGAUUCAUCGGUCAUGGAUGGGGAUGCGUAGGAUUAGGUAGUAGGCGGGGUAACGGCCCACCUAGCCGACGAUCCUUAGGGGUUCUGAGAGGAAGGUCCCCCACACUGGUACUGAGACACGGACCAGACUCCUACGGGAGGCAGCAGUGAGGAAUAUUGGUCAAUGGGCGGAAGCCUGAACCAGCCAAGUAGCGUGAAGGAUUACUGCCCUACGGGUUUUAAACUUCUUUUAUGCGAGAGUAAUGUGCGCCACGUGUGGCGUAUUGCAAGUAUCGCAUGAAUAAGCAUCGGCUAACUCCGUGCCAGCAGCCGCGGUAAUACGGAGGAUGCGAGCGUUAUCCGGAUUUAUUGGGUUUAAAGGGAGCGUAGGCGGGAUAUUAAGUCAGUCGUCAAAGCCUGUGGCUCAACCACAGCCCGCGAUUGAUACUGGUAACCUUGAGUGCGGAUGAGGUGGAUGGAAUUCGUGGUGUAGCGGUGAAAUGCUUAGAUAUCACGAAGAACUCCGAUUGCGAAGGCAGUCCACUGGGCCGCAACUGACGUUGAGGCUCGAAAGCGUGGGGAGCAAACAGGAUUAGAUACCCUGGUAGUCCACGCCGUAAACGAUGAUUACCAGGGCGUUGGAGGGUAUUACCCUUCGGUGGCCGCAGCAAAACGCAAUAAGUAAUCCACCUGGGGGGUACGUUCGCAAGAAUGAAACUCAAAGGAAUUGACGGGGACCCGCACAAGCGGUGGAGCAUGUGGGUUUAAUUCGAAGCAACGCGAAGAACCUUACCUGGUCUUGACAUCCCGAUGACUGACGAGUAAUGUCGUCUUUUCUUCGGAACAUUGGAGACAGGUGGUGCAUGGUUGUCGUCAGCUCGUGUCGUGAGAUGUUGGGUUAAGUCCCGCAACGAGCGCAACCCCUAUCUUUAGUAGCCAGCAUUUCGGAUGGGCACUCUAGAGAGACUGCCUGGGAUAACCAGGAGGAAGGUGGGGAUGACGUCAAAUCAUCAUGCCCCUUAUGACCAGGGCUACACACGUGCUACAAUGGCGUAAACAAAGGGAAGCGAGAUGGUGACAUUAAGCAAAUCCCAAAAAUAACGUCUCAGUUCGGAUUGUAGUCUGCAACUCGACUACAUGAAGCUGGAAUCGCUAGUAAUCGCGAAUCAGAAUGUCGCGGUGAAUACAAUCCCGGGUCUUGUACUCACCGCCCGUCAAG